This is a non-coding RNA of Caenorhabditis elegans, 453 nucleotides long. The record is from Ensembl. Lineage: Eukaryota; Metazoa; Nematoda; Chromadorea; Rhabditida; Rhabditidae.
AACGUUCGUUUACACGACUCUUUACAAAAUGAUUCACAUGCCAAUUCACGCUACUUUUGAAACAACCAGCUCCUUCGAGCUCCGCCGACUUCGGCUCUUGGCCCCGAUCCCAAGAAAAUUCAACUGACACUCGCUUUAACAACAACUGUACAUAUUCAUAUUUAUUUUUGAUUCGUAGCUACAGUAGCUGUUCACCAACAACAAAACGAGGUCUCUAUUGAAUUCUGAUGACAAACGGGCUCCACGGAUAUCUUCCAAUCAACUUCCGAUCUCAACUUCACACCUGCUUUACCCAAACUGAGAAAAUGAUGAAGAUGUCUCCACAUUGCACAACGGGUUUUAUAACUUUUAUCUCGUUUCAUUUAUUUGUUAAUAAUUAUUUUGAAAAGAAGAUCCCAAAAGAGGAUUCAUGUAUUUAUUUGGAACAAAAUAAUAAAUAUAUUUUGAAUUGUA